CUCCGCCUUCCUGCUAUCAUUCCCACAAGGCAGCAGGAGCAGAGAGCAGCCAUUGCUGUGUCUGGCAGCAGAAUUACACAGUGGUGAAGAAAACAUCCAGCAGCCGUCCCUGUGUGUCAGGAGGACUGAGCAGGACCCAGAGCCCCAUCACGGUGCCUCCACCUAACUCACUAAUACAUGAGAGACACAAUGACCAGAAGAUCCUGGAACUCACCAACAAGAUCAUUCAGCUGCUGACUGGAGAGGAGGGGGAGUAUAUAGAGGAACACAGGGGUCUGUACAAGGACGUGAUGAUGGAGAAUCACCGGCCCCUCACAU
This is a long non-coding RNA of Pseudophryne corroboree (corroboree frog), 318 nucleotides long. RefSeq lists it as uncharacterized. The record is from RefSeq and is a predicted model, not a curated record. The transcript is spliced from 3 exons. NCBI's taxonomy places the organism in Eukaryota, Metazoa, Chordata, Amphibia, Anura, Myobatrachidae.